This 72-nucleotide transfer RNA is filed under the name Ictidomys tridecemlineatus (thirteen-lined ground squirrel). RNAcentral describes it as "Spermophilus tridecemlineatus (thirteen-lined ground squirrel) tRNA". It matches the Rfam family "tRNA". Rfam says of the family: Transfer RNA (tRNA) molecules are approximately 80 nucleotides in length. Lineage: Eukaryota; Metazoa; Chordata; Mammalia; Rodentia; Sciuridae. The record is from Rfam by way of RNAcentral.
UGGGUUGUGGCUCAGUGGUAGAGCAUUUGCCUAGCACAUGCAAGGCCCUGGGUUUGAUCCUCAGCACCACAU